Molecule: ribosomal RNA, 253 nt
Filed under: uncultured bacterium
Lineage: Bacteria
Description: partial 16S ribosomal RNA
Rfam family: Bacterial small subunit ribosomal RNA
Source: RNAcentral
UACGUAGGUGGCAAGCGUUGUCCGGAUUUACUGGGCGUAAAGGGCGUGCAGGCGGUUUUGUUAGUCUAGGGUGAAAGCUCCCGGCUUAACUGGGAGAGGUCCUUGGAUACUGGCAAACUUGAGGGAGGCAGAGGAAAGUGGAAUUCCCGGUGUAGUGGUGAUAUGCGUAGAUAUCGGGAGGAACACCAGUGGCGAAGGCGGCUUUCUGGGCCUUGCCUGACGCUGAGACGCGAAAGCGUGGGGAGCGAACCGG